UUUCAUUUUCAUUUCAAUACUUGUAUAAAUGUAUAGAUAUGUUUUCAAUAAAUAUUACUUGACUUUUCGUUUUCGUGAUUAUCUGGCAUCACAUUUGUUCGCGGAAAUCAAUUUCGCGGAUGCGUCUGCGCAGAGCAAAUUCACUGUCUAGGACACGCAUAUACAUUGUUGAUUUUAUUAUUCCGGCUUACGGGUGUCUGAUAAAUGUGUUAUACACAUUGUUCGAGUAUAAUAUAGUAAUUUGUUGUUGACUUAUUUCGUUUCCUCCAAAGAAGAGUAGCGAAUCGAACAAGCAAGUGUUAUAAAUAUAACGAAUUGGAAUCAGGAAAUAGGGGCCGCACUCAAUUUGCCAAACUUUCGAGAGUACCAAGCUGCACAAUCAACAUAUGAAGGAAUCGAACAAACGACACGUAUAAAUAUUGUAUUAUAAACUGGUAUAAUGAAAUACAGUUAGAAUAAUAACCGGACAUUACCAUUUGGUAUCCACGAA
Molecule: long non-coding RNA, 490 nt
Organism: Bactrocera oleae (olive fruit fly)
Lineage: Eukaryota; Metazoa; Arthropoda; Insecta; Diptera; Tephritidae
Source: RefSeq, a predicted model, not a curated record